AUUCCCAUUGAUGUUACUUUUAACCAUGCUAAUGCUGAAAUACAUGAUUAUCAAUAUCACUAAACUGAGGGGACU
RNAcentral lists this small nucleolar RNA (75 nucleotides) under Cicer arietinum (chickpea). RNAcentral's name for it is "Small nucleolar RNA snoR53Y". It matches the Rfam family "Small nucleolar RNA snoR53Y". The record is from Rfam by way of RNAcentral. Lineage: Eukaryota; Viridiplantae; Streptophyta; Magnoliopsida; Fabales; Fabaceae.